This 433-nucleotide ribosomal RNA is filed under the name uncultured bacterium. Its description in RNAcentral is "partial 16S ribosomal RNA". It matches the Rfam family "Bacterial small subunit ribosomal RNA", at positions 29 to 507 of the family's 1533-position model. The record is from RNAcentral.
AACGAACGCUGGCGGCAUGCCUAACACAUGCCAGUCGAACGAGACCUUCGGGUCUAGUGGCGCACGGGUGCGUAACGCGUGGGAACCUGCCCUUAGGUUCGGAAUAACUCCCCGAAAGGGGUGCUAAUACCGGAUAAUGUCUUCGGACCAAAGAUUUAUCGCCUUUGGAUGGGCCCGCGUUGGAUUAGCUAGUUGGUAGGGUAAAAGCCUACCAAGGCGAGGAUCCAUAGCUGGUCGGAGAGGAUGAUCAGCCACACUGGGACUGAGACACGGCCCAGACUCGUACGGGAGGGAGCAGUGGGGAAUAUUGGACAAUGGGCGAAGGCCUGAUCCAGCAAUGCCGGGUGAGAGAUGAAGGCCUUAGGGUUGUAAAGCUCUUUUACCCGGGAUGAUAAUGACAGUACCGGGAGAAUAAGCACCGGCUAACUCCGUG